GCGCUACCAUGCAGUCGAACGGCAGCACAGAGGAGCUUGCUCCUUGGGUGGCGAGUGGCGGACGGGUGAGGAAUGCAUCGGAAUCUGCCUAUUUGUGGGGGAUAACGUAGGGAAACUUACGCUAAUACCGCAUACGUCCUACGGGAGAAAGUGGGGGACCUUCGGGCCUCACGCAGAUAGAUGAGCCGAUGCCGGAUUAGCUAGUUGGCGGGGUAAAGGCCCACCAAGGCGACGAUCCGUAGCUGGUCUGAGAGGAUGAUCAGCCACACUGGAACUGAGACACGGUCCAGACUCCUACGGGAGGCAGCAGUGGGGAAUAUUGGACAAUGGGCGCAAGCCUGAUCCAGCCAUGCCGCGUGUGUGAAGAAGGCCUUCGGGUUGUAAAGCACUUUUGUCCGGAAAGAAAAGCGCUCGAUUAAUACUCGGGUGUUAUGACGGUACCGGAAGAAUAAGCACCGGCUAACUUCGUGCCAGCAGCCGCGGUAAUACGAAGGGUGCAAGCGUUACUCGGAAUUACUGGGCGUAAAGCGUGCGUAGGUGGUUUGUUAAGUCUGAUGUGAAAGCCCUGGGCUCAACCUGGGAACUGCAUUGGAAACUGGCUUACUAGAGUGCGGUAGAGGGGUGUGGAAUUCCCGGUGUAGCAGUGAAAUGCGUAGAUAUCGGGAGGAACAUCUGUGGCGAAGGCGACACCCUGGACCAGCACUGACACUGAGGCACGAAAGCGUGGGGAGCAAACAGGAUUAGAUACCCUGGUAGUCCACGCCCUAAACGAUGCGAACUGGAUGUUGGGGGCAACUUGGCCCUCAGUAUCGAAGCUAACGCGUUAAGUUCGCCGCCUGGGAAGUACGGU
This 850-nucleotide ribosomal RNA is filed under the name uncultured bacterium. Its description in RNAcentral is "bacterial SSU rRNA". It matches the Rfam family "Bacterial small subunit ribosomal RNA", at positions 46 to 886 of the family's 1533-position model. The record is from RNAcentral.